GAUUGCAACUGAAAUCUGCAGGAAGGUAGCUCUCCAGGGACAGGAGACUCCACUACCAGACUCGCCAGGAUCUCCUCCUCAGACAUCUGGUCAAUAAUAUGGGAAUCAUAGGCCACAGCGAUAGACACUUCUUCCAUCAUUUUGGCAGGUCACUGCUCACACAAAACACUGUGGUUUGCCCUGGAAAAGAAGGUGCCAGUACAUUCCUGCACUCCUUAAGCUGCUUAUAUCUGACUGUGCUAUAUGUUCAGCGGGAUUGACGGUGAAAAAAAACUGCUUUUAUCAUCUCACCGCAGCUACAGGGAGGGAUAUGGAGGGAAAAACACACUUAAAGGAGACAGAAGCAUUUGCAGUCAGCUACAAGAUACAGAAACGGAUACACUUGACUUGACAGGAAACAUUUCAAGCAUUGAAAUAAUUUGAUCUUUAUAUACAGAUAUUCGUAUAGAUGUGAAAUGGCUUUUAUUACUCUGAUCACAAUUGACCAAUUUUAUAAAAGUCUACAGGCAUUUA
This 513-nucleotide long non-coding RNA is filed under the name Danio rerio (zebrafish). RNAcentral describes it as "si:dkey-193b15.7 (ENSDARG00000093416.4)". Lineage: Eukaryota; Metazoa; Chordata; Actinopteri; Cypriniformes; Danionidae. The record is from RNAcentral.